CUCAGAUUACCAAGAAAAGAACCUCAAAAAUCAGGCACGGUCAGGUAGGCCUAAAACCAAGGAUUCUGAGGCUGUGCU
This is a long non-coding RNA of Octopus sinensis (East Asian common octopus), 78 nucleotides long. RefSeq lists it as uncharacterized. The transcript has 3 exons. NCBI's taxonomy places the organism in Eukaryota, Metazoa, Mollusca, Cephalopoda, Octopoda, Octopodidae. The record is from RefSeq and is a predicted model, not a curated record.